GCAACGAUAGCUUAGCUUAAAGCGUUGGUCUUGUAAGCCAAAGACGAAUUUAGAUACUCUCGUUGCU
Molecule: transfer RNA, 67 nt
Filed under: Conus genuanus
Lineage: Eukaryota; Metazoa; Mollusca; Gastropoda; Neogastropoda; Conidae
Description: tRNA-Thr
Rfam family: tRNA
About the family: Transfer RNA (tRNA) molecules are approximately 80 nucleotides in length.
Source: RNAcentral